UGGGGAAUAUUGGACAAUGGGCGCAAGCCUGAUCCAGCCAUGCCGCGUGAGUGAUGAAGGCCUUAGGGUUGUAAAGCUCUUUUAUCCGGGACGAUAAUGACGGUACCGGAAGAAUAAGCCCCGGCUAACUUCGUGCCAGCAGCCGCGGUAAUACGAAGGGGGCUAGCGUUGCUCGGAAUCACUGGGCGUAAAGGGCGCGUAGGCGGACGUUUAAGUCAGGGGUGAAAUCCCGGGGCUCAACCUCGGAAUUGCCUUUGAUACUGGGUGUCUCGAGACCGGAAGAGGUAAGUGGAACUGCGAGUGUAGAGGUGAAAUUCGUAGAUAUUCGCAAGAACACCAGUGGCGAAGGCGGCUUACUGGUCCGGUUCUGACGCUGAGGCGCGAAAGCGUGGGGAGCAAACA
RNAcentral lists this ribosomal RNA (402 nucleotides) under uncultured bacterium. RNAcentral describes it as "bacterial SSU rRNA". It matches the Rfam family "Bacterial small subunit ribosomal RNA", at positions 355 to 774 of the family's 1533-position model. The record is from RNAcentral.